CGCUUUUUUUUUAGAAAGGAAGCUUCUUCCCCAAAAUUUAAAAAAAAUUGAAAAUUAUUCCUUCUGAAAAUAUCAUCGCGCUCUUGACCUCGAAGCUGACUGCUGAAUGCGAUUAGGAAAGAAGAUUCCUGAAGAUGCACCAGACUGAUUCUGGCAAGCCGUCUGUCGUCUGGAUAUGCACUGUUGUUCGUUAUGGUCAGCAAUCUUCUUCGUUCGUCCUUUCGUUUUCCUGACCACGAUGAUGACAAGCAGCUCUCAUGCUCAGGAUUCUGAAAGCUGGAGCAGCUCUGCUUACCUCGACCACUGAACUUACAAC
Sycon ciliatum is the source of this 316-nucleotide long non-coding RNA. RefSeq lists it as uncharacterized. Lineage: Eukaryota; Metazoa; Porifera; Calcarea; Leucosolenida; Sycettidae. The transcript has 2 exons. The record is from RefSeq and is a predicted model, not a curated record.